This 218-nucleotide ribosomal RNA is filed under the name Parashewanella curva. RNAcentral's name for it is "Shewanellaceae bacterium C51 partial 16S ribosomal RNA". It matches the Rfam family "Bacterial small subunit ribosomal RNA", at positions 1 to 216 of the family's 1533-position model. The record is from RNAcentral. Lineage: Bacteria; Pseudomonadati; Pseudomonadota; Gammaproteobacteria; Alteromonadales; Shewanellaceae.
UUAAUUGAAGAGUUUGAUCAUGGCUCAGAUUGAACGCUGGCGGCAGGCCUAACACAUGCAAGUCGAGCGGAAACGAGAGGUGCUUGCACCUCGGCGUCAAGCGGCGGACGGGUGAGUAAUGCCUGGGAAUUUGCCCAGUUGUGGGGGAUAACCAUUGGAAACGAUGGCUAAUACCGCAUAAACCCUACGGGGAAAAGGGGAGGCUCUUCGGACUUCUC